AGAGUUUGACCUUGCUCAGAUUGAACGCUGGCGGCAUGCCUUACACAUGCAAGUCGAACGGCAGCGCGGGCUUCGGCCUGGCGGCGAGUGGCGAACGGGUGAGUAAUACAUCGGAACGUGCCCUGUUGUGGGGGAUAACUAGUCGAAAGAUUAGCUAAUACCGCAUACGACCUGAGGGUGAAAGCGGGGGACCGCAAGGCCUCGCGCAAUAGGAGCGGCCGAUGUCUGAUUAGCUAGUUGGUGGGGUAAAGGCCUACCAAGGCGACGAUCAGUAGCUGGUCUGAGAGGACGAUCAGCCACACUGGGACUGAGACACGGCCCAGACUCCUACGGGAGGCAGCAGUGGGGAAUUUUGGACAAUGGGGGCAACCCUGAUCCAGCAAUGCCGCGUGUGUGAAGAAGGCCUUCGGGUUGUAAAGCACUUUUGUCCGGAAAGAAAUCGCGCUGGCUAAUACCUGGCGUGGAUGACGGUACCGGAAGAAUAAGCACCGGCUAACUACGUGCCAGCAGCCGCGGUAAUACGUAGGGUGCGAGCGUUAAUCGGAAUUACUGGGCGUAAAGCGUGCGCAGGCGGUUUUGUAAGACAGGCGUGAAAUCCCCGAGCUCAACUUGGGAAUGGCGCUUGUGACUGCAAGGCUAGAGUAUGUCAGAGGGGGGUAGAAUUCCACGUGUAGCAGUGAAAUGCGUAGAGAUGUGGAGGAAUACCGAUGGCGAAGGCAGCCCCCUGGGACGUCACUGACGCUCA
This 745-nucleotide ribosomal RNA is filed under the name uncultured Ralstonia sp. RNAcentral's name for it is "bacterial SSU rRNA". It matches the Rfam family "Bacterial small subunit ribosomal RNA", at positions 8 to 749 of the family's 1533-position model. Lineage: Bacteria; Pseudomonadati; Pseudomonadota; Betaproteobacteria; Burkholderiales; Burkholderiaceae. The record is from RNAcentral.